GGCCUAUCAGGUUGUAGCAAGUGUAACGCACUUGUUAGCCUACAACGGGUACGGGCCAUGAGAGUGGUUGCCCGGAGAUGGACUCUGAGACAUGAGUCCAGGCCCUACGGGGCGCAGCAGGCGCGAAAACUUCGCAAUGUGCGCAAGCACGACGAGGGAAUCCUAAGUGCCUAUGCUUUGCAUAGGCUGUUCUCCUGUCUAAAAAACAGGGGGAGUAAGGGCUGGGUAAGACGGGUGCCAGCCGCCGCGGUAAUACCCGCAGCCCAAGUGGUGAUCGUUAUUAUUGGGUUUAAAACGUCCGUAGCUGGUCUAGUAAAUUCCUGGGUAAAUCGAAUUGCUUAACAAUUCGAAUUCCGGGUAGACUGCUAGACUUGGGACCGGAAGAGGUCAGAAGUACUUCUGGGGUAGGGGUAAAAUCCUGUAAUCCUGGAGGGACUAUCAGUGGCGAAAUUUCGGAAGCAAAUCUUCCUCAUUUAUCGUUGCUUCCGCAACGCUAAGGCGUCUGACUAGAACGGAUCCGACAGUAAGGGACGAAGCCCUGGGGCGCAAACGGGAUUAGAUACCCCGGUAGUCCAGGGUGUAAACGCUGUAGGCUUGGUGUUGGGGGUCCUAUGAGGACAUCCAGUGCCGGAGAGAAGUUGUUAAGCCUACUACCUGGGGAGUACGGUCGCAAGACUGAAAC
RNAcentral lists this ribosomal RNA (682 nucleotides) under uncultured archaeon. RNAcentral's name for it is "bacterial SSU rRNA". It matches the Rfam family "Archaeal small subunit ribosomal RNA", at positions 219 to 855 of the family's 1478-position model. The record is from RNAcentral.